This 429-nucleotide ribosomal RNA is filed under the name Chloroflexota bacterium. RNAcentral describes it as "Chloroflexi bacterium partial 16S ribosomal RNA". It matches the Rfam family "Bacterial small subunit ribosomal RNA", at positions 355 to 776 of the family's 1533-position model. Lineage: Bacteria; Bacillati; Chloroflexota. The record is from RNAcentral.
UGGGGAAUAUUGCACAAUGGGCGCAAGCCUGAUGCAGCCAUGCCGCGUGUGUGAAGAAGGCCUUCGGGUUGUAAAGCACUUUCAGCGGGGAGGAAGGCGUUAAGGUUAAUAACCUUGGCGAUUGACGUUACCCGCAGAAGAAGCACCGGCUAACUCCGUGCCAGCAGCCGCGGUAAUACGGAGGGUGCAAGCGUUAAUCGGAAUUACUGGGCGUAAAGCGCACGCAGGCGGUUUGUUAAGUCAGAUGUGAAAUCCUCGGGCUCAACCUGGGAACGGCAUCUGAGACUGGCAAGCUUGAGUCUCGUAGAGGGGGGUAGAAUUCCAGGUGUAGCGGUGAAAUGCGUAGAGAUCUGGAGGAAUACCGGUGGCGAAGGCGGCCCCCUGGACGAAGACUGACGCUCAGGUGCGAAAGCGUGGGGAGCAAACAGG